Molecule: ribosomal RNA, 492 nt
Filed under: uncultured bacterium
Lineage: Bacteria
Description: partial 16S ribosomal RNA
Rfam family: Bacterial small subunit ribosomal RNA
Source: RNAcentral
AGUGAACGCUGGCGGUAGGCCUAACACAUGCAAGUCGAACGGCAGCACAGUAAGAGCUUGCUCUUACGGGUGGCGAGUGGCGGACGGGUGAGGCAUACAUCGGAAUCUACUUUUUCGUGGGGGAUAACGUAGGGAAACUUACGCUAAUACCGCAUACGACCUACGGGUGAAAGCAGGGGAUCUUCGGACCUUGCGCGAUUCAAUGAGCCGAUGUCGGAUUAGCUAGUUGGCGGGGUAAAGGCCCACCAAGGCGACGAUCCGUAGCUGGUCUGAGAGGAUGAUCAGCCACACUGGAACUGAGACACGGUCCAGACUCCUACGGGAGGCAGCAGUGGGGAAUAUUGGACAAUGGGCGCAAGCCUGAUCCAGCCAUACCGCGUGGGUGAAGAAGGCCUUCGGGUUGUAAAGCCCUUUUGUUGGGAAAGAAAAGCAGCAGGUUAAUACCCCGCUGUUCUGACGGUACCCAAAGAAUAAGCACCGGCUAACUUCGUG